RNAcentral lists this long non-coding RNA (1488 nucleotides) under Felis catus (domestic cat). Its description in RNAcentral is "lncRNA (ENSFCAG00000049162.1)". Lineage: Eukaryota; Metazoa; Chordata; Mammalia; Carnivora; Felidae. The record is from RNAcentral.
AUGUUCCAUAUUGCAUUUGAGAGGGUUCCAGAGGCCACUCCUUUCAAAACCCAAAUCAAAACAAACAAAAAUACCACCCCAGAAACAAAAACACAAAUACCCUUUUCUGAAGAGACGAUAAGCCUUUCCAAUUUUAACAGAUCCUUUGUUCAGCACUGGAGAAACUGGGGCGGGCACAGCUGCCCUAGCAGCUACCGUACAAUAUGGCGUCGCCCAUUUGUACACACCGGCUGGGAUUACAUCCUCCUAGCCCGUCGCAGGACCGGAAGUGGCUUCGGCCCUAGUGGAUCCGGGUGGGUGCGCGCAGGUGGCGGUGGAGGGUUCCAGCUCUUCAGCGUGAGGUGCCGCAGGUGUUCGGUUUGGGUCCCGGUCGCAGAUUUAAUUUAUCCAGCUUGGGACUCAGAGGACUGUACUAAAUCUGAUGACCUCCAUCUCAGCUCUUCAUUACAUGGAUGUCGAGAUUCUCAAUCUGUCCCCCAUGUCUCUGCUAUGUUUUCUACAUCUUUCUCUCUGUGCUACAUUCUGGGUGAGUUCCUCAGAUUUAUCUUCAAUUCACUAACUCUCUCUGUCUGAUCUACUAUUUGACCUGUCUAUUGAGUAUUGAACUUUUAAACAAUUUUAGCAAGUAUUUUUUUGUACGUAGAAUUUCUACUUUAUGUUGUCUCCUGUUCAUGUUUUAGAUUUUAUUUUCCUUAAUUUCACUGAGUGUUAUUUAAGUUCCUUUCAGAUUUCAGAUAUGGAUGUUUUUGUUUGAUUCUUAUGUGAAAUAUUUUUUAUUGGCUGUAGGGUAUUUUAAAAUUUUUGUUUUGUUUUGAUUCAUUUGUGAGUACUCUUCUAGGGACUGGUGUUGUUGGAAGUACUGCAUGUUUCCUGGGUGGUAGAAACACACACACACACACACACACACACAUUCCAACUGAAUUCACAAAUUCUAACCAUUGUCGCUUUAGUUUCUUUGGUUUUCAAUUUUUUUAACGUUUGUUUAUUUUUGAGAGACAGAGAGAGAGACACGGGGCGAGUGGAAGAGGGGCCGAGAGGGAGACACGGAAUCCGAAGCAGGCUCCAGGCCCUGAGCUGUCAGCACAGAGCCUGACAUGGGGCUUGAACUCACGAACCGUGAGAUCAUGACCUCAGCCAAAGUUGGACACUUAACCGGCUGAGCCACCUAGGCGCCCCUUAGUUUUAGUUUCUUUAAAGCUAGUUUCUUUAAAACUUAGAGUUUCCUUUUGUGAGGAUAAUGUGAAUUUGGGCCCUCUACUGCCUCACAGUGCAGGCCUGAGGAGAAUCUGCCUUCUCAUGAGGAGUUCUGUUCAUGCUCUCAGCCUUGGGCGGGUGCUUGCCUGGACCGUGGUAGUUGAACCCUUCCAGUUUCCUGUUCAUGGACAAGGCAGCACUUCCUGGGUCCCAGCUGUGCCCUGGGCCUGUGGCCUAGACUUCUGGCCAUGGACUGGCAAUAAAGCCCAGCACUGAGGCUGCUAGGAGCUCUGG